This 205-nucleotide ribosomal RNA is filed under the name Escherichia coli. Its description in RNAcentral is "partial 16S ribosomal RNA". It matches the Rfam family "Bacterial small subunit ribosomal RNA", at positions 1 to 213 of the family's 1533-position model. Lineage: Bacteria; Pseudomonadati; Pseudomonadota; Gammaproteobacteria; Enterobacterales; Enterobacteriaceae. The record is from RNAcentral. RNAcentral also lists the same sequence under 1 other name.
AAAUUGAAGAGUUUGAUCAUGGCUCAGAUUGAACGCUGGCGGCAGGCCUAACACAUGCAAGUCGAACGGUAACAGGAAGAAGCUUGCUUCUUUGCUGACGAGUGGCGGACGGGUGAGUAAUGUCUGGGAAACUGCCUGAUGGAGGGGGAUAACUACUGGAAACGGUAGCUAAUACCGCAUAACGUCGCAAGACCAAAGAGGGGGA